RNAcentral lists this small nuclear RNA (89 nucleotides) under Catagonus wagneri (Chacoan peccary). Lineage: Eukaryota; Metazoa; Chordata; Mammalia; Artiodactyla; Tayassuidae. The record is from RNAcentral.
UCACUUCAUCAAUGUAUACAUUAAAAUUGGAACGCUACAGAGAAGAUAAGCAAGGAUGAUGUGCAAUUUGUGAAGUGUUCCAUAUUUUC